CCUACGGGAGGCAGCAGUGAGGAAUAUUGGUCAAUGGCCGAGAGUCUGAACCAGCCAAGUAGCGUGAAGGAUGAAUGUCCUAUGGGUUGUAAACUUCUUUUAUAUGGGAAUAAAAUGUUCCACGUGUGGGAUUUUGUAUGUACCAUAUGAAUAAGGAUCGGCUAACUCCGUGCCAGCAGCCGCGGUAAUACGGAGGAUCCGAGCGUUAUCCGGAUUUAUUGGGUUUAAAGGGAGCGUAGGUGGAUUGUUAAGUCAGUUGUGAAAGUUUGCGGCUCAACCGUAAAAUUGCAGUUGAAACUGGCAGUCUUGAGUACAGUAGAGGUGGGCGGAAUUCGUGGUGUAGCGGUGAAAUGCUUAGAUAUCACGAAGAACUCCGAUUGCGAAGGCAGUUCACUGGACUGCAACUGACACUGAGGCUCGAAAGUGUGGGUAUCAAACAGGAUUAGAUACCCCUGUAGUC
Molecule: ribosomal RNA, 460 nt
Filed under: uncultured bacterium
Lineage: Bacteria
Description: partial 16S ribosomal RNA
Rfam family: Bacterial small subunit ribosomal RNA
Source: RNAcentral